GAAUGCUGACAUAAGUAACGAUAAAGCGGGUGAAAAGCCCGCUCGCCGGAAGACCAAGGGUUCCUGUCCAACGUUAAUCGGGGCAGGGUGAGUCGACCCCUAAGGCGAGGCCGAAAGGCGUAGUCGAUGGGAAACAGGUUAAUAUUCCUGUACUUGGUGUUACUGCGAAGGGGGGACGGAGAAGGCUAUGUUGGCCGGGCGACGGUUGUCCCGGUUUAAGCGUGUAGGCUGAUUUUCCAGGCAAAUCCGGAGAAUCAAGGCUGAGGCGUGAUGACGAGGCACUACGGUGCUGAAGCAACAAAUGCCCUGCUUCCAGGAAAAGCCUCUAAGCAUCAGGUAACAUCAAAUCGUACCCCAAACCGACACAGGUGGUCAGGUAGAGAAUACCAAGGCGCUUGAGAGAACUCGGGUGAAGGAACUAGGCAAAAUGGUGCCGUAACUUCGGGAGAAGGCACGCUGAUAUGUAGGUGAAGCGACUUGCUCGUGGAGCUGAAAUCAGUCGAAGAUACCAGCUGGCUGCAACUGUUUAUUAAAAACACAGCACUGUGCAAACACGAAAGUGGACGUAUACGGUGUGACGCCUGCCCGGUGCCGGAAGGUUAAUUGAUGGGGUCAGCGCAAGCGAAGCUCUUGAUCGAAGCCCCGGUAAACGGCGGCCGUAACUAUAACGGUCCUAAGGUAGCGAAAUUCCUUGUCGGGUAAGUUCCGACCUGCACGAAUGGCGUAAUGAUGGCCAGGCUGUCUCCACCCGAGACUCAGUGAAAUUGAACUCGCUGUGAAGAUGCAGUGUACCCGCGGCAAGACGGAAAGACCCCGUGAACCUUUACUAUAGCUUGACACUGAACACUGGUCCUUGAUGUGUAGGAUAGGUGGGAGGCUUUGAAGUGUGGACGCCAGUCUGCAUGGAGCCGUCCUUGAAAUACCACCCUUUAAUGGCUGGUGUUCUAACGUUGGCCCGUAAUCCGGGUUGCGGACAGUGUCUGGUGGGUAGUUUGACUGGGGCGGUCUCCUCCUAAAGAGUAACGGAGGAGCACGAAGGUUGGCUAAUCCUGGUCGGACAUCAGGAGGUUAGUGCAAUGGCAUAAGCCAGCUUGACUGCGAGCGUGACGGCGCGAGCAGGUGCGAAAGCAGGUCAUAGUGAUCCGGUGGUUCUGAAUGGAAGGGCCAUCGCUCAACGGAUAAAAGGUACUCCGGGGAUAACAGGCUGAUACCGCCCAAGAGUUCAUAUCGACGGCGGUGUUUGGCACCUCGAUGUCGGCUCAUCACAUCCUGGGGCUGAAGUAGGUCCCAAGGGUAUGGCUGUUCGCCAUUUAAAGUGGUACGCGAGCUGGGUUUAGAACGUCGUGAGACAGUUCGGUCCCUAUCUGCCGUGGGCGCUGGAGAACUGAGGGGGGCUGCUCCUAGUACGAGAGGACCGGAGUGGACGCAUCACUGGUGUUCGGGUUGUCAUGCCAAUGGCACUGCCCGGUAGCUAAAUGCGGAAGAGAUAAGUGCUGAAAGCAUCUAAGCACGAAACUUGCCCCGAGAUGAGUUCUCCCUGACCCUUUAAGGGUCCUGAAGGAACGUUGAAGACGACGACGUUGAUAGGCCGGGUGUGUAAGCGCAGCGAUGCGUUGAGCUAACCGGUACUAAUGAAC
This 1637-nucleotide ribosomal RNA is filed under the name Escherichia albertii. RNAcentral describes it as "partial 23S ribosomal RNA". It matches the Rfam family "Bacterial large subunit ribosomal RNA", at positions 1292 to 2909 of the family's 2925-position model. The record is from RNAcentral. Lineage: Bacteria; Pseudomonadati; Pseudomonadota; Gammaproteobacteria; Enterobacterales; Enterobacteriaceae.